AACGUAGGACGCAAACGUUAUCCGGAAUUACUGGGCGUAAAGAGCGUGUAGGCGGUCUGUUAAGUCAACCGUGAAAGCUCCCGGCUAAACUGGGAGAGGUCGGCUGAUACUGGCAGACUAGAGGGUGUUAGAGGGAUGCGGAAUUCCGGGUGUAGUGGUGAAAUGCGUAGAGAUCCGGAGGAACACCAGAGGCGAAGGCGGCAUCCUGGGACAUACCUGACGCUGAGACGCGAAAGCAUGGGGAGCGAACGGGAUUAGAAACCCCCGUAGUCC
This 273-nucleotide ribosomal RNA is filed under the name uncultured bacterium. RNAcentral's name for it is "partial 16S ribosomal RNA". It matches the Rfam family "Bacterial small subunit ribosomal RNA", at positions 524 to 796 of the family's 1533-position model. The record is from RNAcentral.